GAUGAACGCUGACAGAAUGCUUAACACAUGCAAGUCUUUGGCGAAGCUGUGCUUGCACAGCCUAGCCAAGGCGGACGGGUGAGUAACGCGUAAGGAACUUGCCCUGCAGUCAGGGAUAACAGACGGAAACGACUGAUAAGACCUGGUAAAGUCAGGCGGACUCAUGUCCAGCCUGAUGAAAAGAGAUGCUGCAGGAGAGCCUUGCGUCCUAUUAGCUUGUUGGUGGGGUAACGGCCCACCAAGGCGAUGAUAGGUAGCCGGCCUGAGAGGGUGGACGGCCACAAGGGGACUGAGAUACGGCCCUUACUCCUACGGGAGGCAGCAGUGGGGAAUAUUGGACAAGGGGGGCAACCCUGAUCCAGCAAUUCUGUGUGCACGAUGAAGGUUUUCGGAUUGUAAAGUGCUUUCAGCAGGGAAGAAAAAAAUGACGGUACCUGCAGAAGAAGCGACGGCUAAAUACGUG
This 463-nucleotide ribosomal RNA is filed under the name uncultured bacterium. RNAcentral describes it as "partial 16S ribosomal RNA". It matches the Rfam family "Bacterial small subunit ribosomal RNA", at positions 28 to 507 of the family's 1533-position model. The record is from RNAcentral.